RNAcentral lists this ribosomal RNA (253 nucleotides) under uncultured bacterium. RNAcentral's name for it is "partial 16S ribosomal RNA". It matches the Rfam family "Bacterial small subunit ribosomal RNA", at positions 524 to 776 of the family's 1533-position model. The record is from RNAcentral.
GACAGAGGGGGCAAGCGUUGUUCGGAAUUACUGGGCGUAAAGGGCUCGUAGGCGGCCAACUAAGUCCGACGUGAAAUCCCCAGGCUUAACCUGGGAACUGCGUCGGAUACUGGAUGGCUUGAAUUCGGGAGAGGGAUGCAGAAUUCCAGGUGUAGCGGUGAAAUGCGUAGAUAUCUGGAGGAAUACCGGUGGCGAAGGCGGCAUCCUGGACCGACAUUGACGCUGAGGAGCGAAAGCUAGGGGAGCAAACGGG